RNAcentral lists this long non-coding RNA (307 nucleotides) under Vigna radiata. Its description in RNAcentral is "long non-coding RNA (VRAD_LNC015911)". The record is from RNAcentral. Lineage: Eukaryota; Viridiplantae; Streptophyta; Magnoliopsida; Fabales; Fabaceae.
GGACAUCCCAUUUUCUUCCUUUCAUACUUACACCAACUAAGACCUUUAUCUCCAAAACCCUCAAUUCUACUAUAACUAUGGCUCCAUGUCUCCUCUGGCUCCAUGCCUCCUCUAUAAACCAUCGAUCAUUAUUCUUGACUCAUCUCACACGUUACUAUCUCUCACAUAUCCCACCUCACGACCAAUCACUUUACAUUCUCCUCCAACCAUUAACAUAUGAUGGAACCUUUACAACUGAGAAUAUCUUCUUCUCCUCCAUGUUUUCUUCCUCUCCAAAAGUCACAUAACGCAUCCAUUUCAUUUUGGC